AUUUCUCUAAACAGCAUUGGUUAGUUUCAUAUAUCAACAGAUCAGAGUGAAUAAUAGAGAGAAAAAUGGGAAGAAGAAGAGAAAUGGUAUUCAUUUUGAUUAUUCUUUAUUCAUAUAUGGUGGCUUCUUCCUUUGCUUUGAAACAACUCUUCACAAUAGAUUCUAAACAACAACUAAUUGGGAGAUCAAGCUACGACAAUAUAAGUAGUUUAUCGGUUGUUGAACAUCGAAGAGGAGGUAGGGGCGUCGUACCAAUGUAUGCAGCAGCUUCUUCACAUCGUCGUGGAAAACACCGCAACUGUGGAAACCGUCAUAAUAACUACGUCGAGUUUAUAGUCGUAAUUGAAGUUUUCGUCUCUAUUGCAAUUUUGUGUUCACUCAUCUAAUAUCGAUUACAUUCCAAUUCAUCAAUCAACAACAAUAAUGUAAGCAUUAAUUUUAUUUCCCUAGAAAAUUUAUAGUGUUGUUAUAUACAUACUAAUUCAUAAGGCUUCUAUUCUCUUCAUUGUUUAUGAAAAAAAUCAAAAUACAAUGUUUAAGAUUAAUGAACAAUAAUAAAUUAAUAUAUCAUUUGAUA
Long non-coding RNA from Cucumis melo (muskmelon), 577 nucleotides. RefSeq lists it as uncharacterized. The record is from RefSeq and is a predicted model, not a curated record. The transcript has 2 exons. Lineage: Eukaryota; Viridiplantae; Streptophyta; Magnoliopsida; Cucurbitales; Cucurbitaceae.